Molecule: ribosomal RNA, 405 nt
Filed under: uncultured bacterium
Lineage: Bacteria
Description: partial 16S ribosomal RNA
Rfam family: Bacterial small subunit ribosomal RNA
Source: RNAcentral
GACGAACGCUGGCGGCGUGCCUAAUACAUGCAAGUCGAACGAGUGGCGGACGGGUGAGUAAUGCUUGGGAAUCUAGCUUAUGGAGGGGGAUAACUACGGGAAACUGUAGCUAAUACCGCGUACCAUAGGAUGAGCCCAAGUGGGAUUAGGUAGUUGGUGGGGUAAAGGCUCACAAAGCCGACGAACUCUAGCUGGUCUGAGAGGAUGACCAGCAAGACUGGGACUGAGACACGGCCCAGACUCCUACGGGAGGCAGCAGUGGGGAAUAUUGCGCAAUGGGGGCAACCUGUCGCAGCCAUGCCGCGUGAAUGAGGAAGGCCGUCGGGUUGUAAAGUGCUUUCGGUAGCGAGGCGUUAACUACAGAAGAAGCACCGGCUAACUCCGUGCCAGCAGCCGCGGUAAUAC